Molecule: long non-coding RNA, 526 nt
Organism: Lepus europaeus (European hare)
Lineage: Eukaryota; Metazoa; Chordata; Mammalia; Lagomorpha; Leporidae
Exons: 3
Source: RefSeq, a predicted model, not a curated record
CCGCGAGUCAGAACCAGAACCGCUGUCCUCAGCUGCACCUCGCCGCCUACCUCUGAAACUGCGCUGGCAGCAAUUCCUAAAAGUAACCUUACACCAAUGAAGCAGAAAGGAAAGACAAAACGCCCCUUAUCCAUUGUCAGACCAAAAAGAGUCGGAUUGCUCCCAGCACUGUAGCAGACAGAAGCCCUUCAGUUUUACAUCUACUCUGAGUUCUCAGGAAAUGUAGUAUGUAUCUUUACACACUGAGGAGCUGAACGAGAUCAAGCUGGAAGAAACUGAUGGGACAGGAACGAGAGCCAAGACAGCUUUCAACGUUUCACCUGCUAAUCAAACCAGCUCAGGGAACUCUGACAACAGCCAAGCAUCAAUGCCCAUCUAUUGUGAACAGAAAAACAGAUGCAUUUAAGAAACGCCAGAAAAGUAAUGGCCAAGUCAGGAAUAGAGUGUGGGCCUCCUGACUUGCAAUUUAAAGCUUUAUGUCCUCAGUCACGCUAGUGGAUAAAAUUAGAUCUGAAGUCCCACCUUU